Molecule: ribosomal RNA, 658 nt
Filed under: Clonostachys rosea
Lineage: Eukaryota; Fungi; Ascomycota; Sordariomycetes; Hypocreales; Bionectriaceae
Description: mitochondrial SSU rRNA
Rfam family: Bacterial small subunit ribosomal RNA
Source: RNAcentral
AAUGGCCUAACGGCUGAACUGGCAACUUGGAAAAGUGAUAAGUCCAAAAUAGGAUUGAAUUCAAAAGAAUGAAACUUUGUUUAUAUAUUGAUAAUGACAAUAUAUAUAUUUUGUCUUGACCAAUUACGUGCCAGCAGUCGCGGUAAUACGUAAGAGACUAGUGUUAUUCAUCAUAAUUAGGUUUAAAGGGUACCUAGACGGUCAAUAUAGCAUGUAAAAUGUAACUACUUGACUAGAGUUUAUAGAAGAGGGCAGAACUUGCGGAGGAGAGAUAAAAUUUCGUUAUACCAAAGGACUGGUAAAGGUGAAGACAGCCCUUUAUUUAAAAACUGACGUUGAGGGACGAAGGCAUAGGUAACAAAAAGGAUUAGAUACCCCAGUAGUCUUUGCAGUAAAUUAUGAAUGCCAUAGGUCAGAUUUAUUUUUGGUUUAUAAAUGAAAGUGUAAGCAUUCCACCUCAAGAGUAAUGUGGCAACGCAGGAACUGAAAUCACUAGACCGUUUCUGACACCAGUAGUGAAGUAUGUUGUUUAAUUCGAUGAUCCACGAAAAACCUUACCGCGGUUUGUAUAUAUUUGAUAUACAGGAGUUGCACGGCUGUUUUCAGUUAAUGUUGUGAAACUGUGGUUUCCAUGGAAUUAACGUAAUCCCUGACUUUA